ACCUAGACUUCUAUAGUAACUAAUUAUGUAACCUAAAGGUCUGGAGCUUUUCUUUUUUUUGGAUUUAAGGAUUAUUUAAGAAAAAGUGCAUGUGCCCUGGCUGGUGUGGGUCAGUGGAUU
Molecule: long non-coding RNA, 120 nt
Organism: Phyllostomus discolor (pale spear-nosed bat)
Lineage: Eukaryota; Metazoa; Chordata; Mammalia; Chiroptera; Phyllostomidae
Exons: 3
Source: RefSeq, a predicted model, not a curated record